This 97-nucleotide transfer RNA is filed under the name Streptomyces hundungensis. RNAcentral describes it as "tRNA-Pro". Lineage: Bacteria; Bacillati; Actinomycetota; Actinomycetes; Kitasatosporales; Streptomycetaceae. The record is from RNAcentral.
CCAGGGCGUCGGCGACGGUGGCGGCGUUGGUGCGCAGGGUGCGUUCGUGGCCGUCCGCGAGGAAGGUCACCGAGCGUUCGGUGCGGACGUCCAGGGC